UGAGACUCUUCUCACAAUAAGCUAGUAAUGGCACUCAGUGGAGUCAGCACUUUUUGAAUUAAACUGAUAAUUACUGUUCAGAGAUUACACUCUUAAAAUAUUUCACAAUAUUCUUAUUUUUUGUAAAUAAAACAUUUACAUAAAAAUGUUUUAAAAUGUAGUGUAACUACACAGCUUUUCACUAUGUUUCCAUACAUAACCGAGUACAGAUUAGAAAUAUAUUUAAAUCAUUCGCCGGUUAGGUUAUUACAGUAUCUGAAAAGCUCUCCUUUACCAGCAAAUGAUGCUGUGUUUGGCAAAGAAUACUAUUGGUAAUUCUUUAAACAAAACCCCAAACGUAUUUGUUUUCCCCUCUUUAAUUGUUAGAAACAGAAUUAUUUAAGAAAAAARUUUAGUAAAUACAUAUCCUAAACUAUUAAUAAUACUUCUACUAGUACACUAAAUGGAUUGCCUUGUGUGAUUUAUAUACAUUGAUGAACCCAGACUUAACUGCUCUAAUGGAUUGCCAGAAGACAAGUAUACAAAGCACUGCUGAAGUUUACCACAUUUUCUUUCAAGUGAUCUCUGACAAAGUUAAAAAAGUCCGUUUUGGCAUUGCUGCUUUUAGGACAUAUUCCAAGUACUUUACAUAACAACCAUCAUGAAUSAUCUAGAAAUCGGCAAGGGUGCUGAUAUAUUGCAUUCAUAGUAUCAAAAAMCAAAAGGAAAUUGAGCACUUUUUUUUUUAAAUAUAUAUAAAAACAGAGCUUGAGGUAUUUAACAACACUUUAUAAUGGAAAUUAAAACUUCCUCACUGCAUGUUGACUGCAACUGUUCAGGACUUGUUACAUGAAAUAUCACUCCUAUGUUACUAUUUGAAAAUAAAGAUCUACCUUUGCACAAGGCACAAAUAAAACUCAGUCUAACCUGUAUUGACUACAAAUUUGGUUAUGUACAGUCUAAGUACAGUACAAAGACUAAAGCAAUUGUCCUGCACUGAGACUUACAAAGUUAACAAGCAGGCGCUGCAGACACCUCAAGUCAGAUUCUUCUUCUCAACAGUGAAUCUUACAGCAAUGAGAUCAAAACCAGGUUUUGUUGAGACUAAGGAUAAUUCCUGGCCAUUUGGGCAAAGCACGUUUUAUCAGACAAAAGUGGCUGGGGUAAUUAUAAUAAAAUACGGUAUGCAUUUACUCAAUUUCUUUAAGUGGUCAUAUGAAAUCCUGUAAACACCAGAUUCCUUUAGAGUAAAAAAAAAAUCCUACAGUAUAGACAUAAUCAGGCUCAGUCACAAGGAGUGUGUCCCAAUCACCAUUUACCACAAUUUGAAGUUCAGCAGAUAAAGCCUCUCUCAAUUAAGAAUGUCACCGAGGUGAGAUUUUCAGUCUGCUUUUGCUAACUCAAAGGGAGCAAGAUAAGGUUCCGUAAAUUGUUUACAUCACCUUAACUAAUUCUAGAUCCAUUUUCCUCAGAACUAGAAGAGAUUUUACUUCAUCUCAAAAUCAUAGUAUGAAUUAUUUUGCAUUCAGCAGAGGGACAGGGACAAAAUGAACAAAAAAAUAUUCAAAUUUCUAGUUUAUGCACAAAUACUAUGAUUUCCCAAGUCAUUAAAUGUUUGAUUCUCUGACAGACAASAGUUUAGAAAAGGGAAUUAAAUUCCUUAGGGAAAUAGCAGCAACAUUAAACUAAAGAAUAUAAAACAUUCCUUUUUCCUUUCAAGAUAAAAUGCAAAAUAGUCAACAUGGCCUAAAAACAUGCCAAAACAUUUCAUUUAACUUUUUGUAUGUUGACAAGAGUACUAUACAGAUAGCGAAACAUUUUCAUGUGGCCUUUGUAAAAUGUCUUUCUAACUUGUGUGAAUAUAGCUAGUGUGAUAUGACUAAUUUCUUAGAAAACACAUACACUCGUGAAAGGCUAUGUUAAACUGAACAUGUUUGUUACAGGACAUGUUCAAAACACUACUR
Molecule: long non-coding RNA, 1943 nt
Filed under: Dromaius novaehollandiae (emu)
Lineage: Eukaryota; Metazoa; Chordata; Aves; Casuariiformes; Dromaiidae
Description: lncRNA (ENSDNVG00000009260.1)
Source: RNAcentral